This 370-nucleotide ribosomal RNA is filed under the name uncultured bacterium. RNAcentral describes it as "bacterial SSU rRNA". It matches the Rfam family "Bacterial small subunit ribosomal RNA", at positions 598 to 966 of the family's 1533-position model. The record is from RNAcentral.
AAGCCCCCGGCUCAACCGGGGAGGGUCAUUGGAAACUGGGGAACUUGAGUGCAGAAGAGGAGAGUGGAAUUCCACGUGUAGCGGUGAAAUGCGUAGAGAUGUGGAGGAACACCAGUGGCGAAGGCGACUCUCUGGUCUGUAACUGACGCUGAGGCGCGAAAGCGUGGGGAGCGAACAGGAUUAGAUACCCUGGUAGUCCACGCCGUAAACGAUGAGUGCUAAGUGUUAGAGGGUUUCCGCCCUUUAGUGCUGCAGCAAACGCAUUAAGCACUCCGCCUGGGGAGUACGGUCGCAAGACUGAAACUCAAAGGAAUUGACGGGGGCCCGCACAAGCGGUGGAGCAUGUGGUUUAAUUCGAAGCAACGCGAAG